AACGAACGCUGGCGGCAUGCUUAACACAUGCAAGUCGAACGCUCGUUGGGCUUCGGUCUGGCGAGAGUGGCGCACGGGUGAGUAUCGCGUGGGAACCUGCCCUCUUGUGGGGAGUAACCGACUGGAAACGGUACGGCGUAAUAACCGCCAUAAGACCCGGUCGGCGAACAAUCGGGGAAAGGAAUUUAUUCGCGAGAGGAGGGGCCGGCGU
This 211-nucleotide ribosomal RNA is filed under the name uncultured bacterium. Its description in RNAcentral is "partial 16S ribosomal RNA". It matches the Rfam family "Bacterial small subunit ribosomal RNA", at positions 29 to 236 of the family's 1533-position model. The record is from RNAcentral.